RNAcentral lists this ribosomal RNA (250 nucleotides) under uncultured bacterium. Its description in RNAcentral is "partial 16S ribosomal RNA". It matches the Rfam family "Bacterial small subunit ribosomal RNA", at positions 524 to 773 of the family's 1533-position model. The record is from RNAcentral.
UACAGAGGUCCCGAGCGUUGUUCGGAUUUACUGGGCGUAAAGGGUGCGUAGGUGGCAGGGUAAGUUCGGUGUGAAAGCUUCGAGCUCAACUCGGAAACGGCAUUGAAUACUAUCCUGCUUGAGGAUCGGAGGGGAGACUGGAAUUCUCGGUGUAGCAGUGAAAUGCGUAGAUAUCGAGAGGAACACCAGUGGCGAAGGCGGGUCUCUGGACGAUUCCUGACACUGAGGCACGAAAGCUAGGGGAGCAAAC